This is a non-coding RNA of Macaca mulatta (Rhesus monkey), 1709 nucleotides long. Lineage: Eukaryota; Metazoa; Chordata; Mammalia; Primates; Cercopithecidae. The record is from RefSeq and is a predicted model, not a curated record.
ACUGAGAAUAUUUAAUGAAAUAUAAGCUUUCUUUACAGCUGUAUUUGUCUUUAGAAUUUAUUCUGCUAGGUAUAGACAGUCAAAAUACUGUAUUCUAUAGCUACUAGAAUUAAUUUGUGUGUGUGCUAUUAUCACUACUUUAUAUUCAGUAGCUUUAUUUCAGUUAUUUGCCAGUAUAUAUGCUUUUAUUUAUAAAAGAAACAUUGGUGACUUAAAACCUAGUAGAAAUGAUUAUACAGGGAGGAAAAGAAUGGGUAAAUGAAAGUGAGUGUUCUCUGAAUAUACAUUCUUAUAUAGGUUUAACUUUGGAUUCAUAUAAAUGUGUUAUGUAUUUAGAAAAUAAAAAUUAGAUUAAACAAUCUUCACCUGGAGAUGCCCAAUAGUCUGAUGGAGAUAAUGAGUUUGGAAUUUAGGGGAGAAGUUAAGCUGGAGAUGUAAUUUUGGGAGACAGUGUUUUAAAUUACAGAUGAGUGAAUGAGACCAGAGUGAGUCUGAAUGUGGAUGAAGCAGUCUAAGCCUGAGAAGUGAUAUGUCUCGUCACGUAGAGGUCAGAAAGAAGGCAAGAGUUCAGCAAAGGAGGUGGAGGGGCUUCUAGUGAGGUGAAAAGGAAACUCAGAGGAAUGUGGUGUCAGGAAGCCACAUGAAAACGUGACUCAAGAAGGAGGAACUGACCAUGUGCCCUUCCAGUCACUUUUUGUAUUGCUAUCCUUUCAUAUGUUCUAAACCACAAAUGAAUAUCUAAAGAGUCGAAAGAGGUAGUUGAAGUUAGGGAAGCGGGAGAUAUUUAGAGUGGGAGGGGACUGCUCUGAUAAUGGCAAAGUGAGUCCAAGUGAGAAGUUGAAGUAAACCAAUUCAUUGAAAACUUUAAUUCGGCGCCUAACUACCUCCUUAUAACCUCAGAAUUCUCAGCAGAUUUUGCAGCUUAGAUGGAAGUCAGGAAUUAAAAGAACAUCAAACUUAAAUUUUAAGUCAGAAUAAUAAGAAGCUAAAAAGUAUUAUCUUUCAUGAAUUGUAUGGGUAAGAAACAAAAGAGAAAAAUAAAGGUAUCUUCUAUUUUUUUUAAAGCCAAUUGAUUAGCCUAAAUUUUAUGAUUGAAGGAAAAGACAAUUAUCUUGAUAGAAAGUGAGGGCGGAGUGGGUGGUAUAACUUCAAAGUGUUCUGCACGCUGGACACAUUGAUCAAAGGCAAAAUAAUAAAAGAAGCAAGUCUGAGGAGUCAUUACAUUAUUACAAAAAGACUCCCUGUGUUUCAGUUUAUGACACCAGAGUUCCUAAGGCGAAGUCAAGAGAUGAAAGAUACCAUAGUUGAUGCACUCAGUGAAUUCUGUUAAUGGCUUCCUUUUCACUUGUGAAUUUUCUUCAAAGGCAUUCCAAGAGGACUGGGCAGAAACUUCAAAACAACUUAAUGACGUAGCUUCAGAGACCAAGAAUGUCACAUUUCUGCUACAUUCUUUUGAUUAAGCAAGUCACCAAAGCCCAGAUUCAAGGGGAGAGGACUUAGACUCCAUUUUCAAAGUGAGGAAUACCAAAAAAUUUGCAGUUCCUGUUAUAUAUUAAAAGUGGCCCCAUCCAAUUUGAAAGUAUAAUAAUGCACUGUUAUUUUAAUGUUCUGUAAUAACAGACGUAUCAGUCAUGUUAUAUUUUCAUUUAAAUACUAUUAUGGAAAAAUGGCACUUGUGUGUUUUUUUUAAUAAAAAUGCUGUCAUAGUA